This 308-nucleotide unclassified non-coding RNA is filed under the name plant metagenome. RNAcentral's name for it is "partial contains 5.8S ribosomal RNA, internal transcribed spacer 2, and large subunit ribosomal RNA". The stretch from base 1 to 105 matches the Rfam family "5.8S ribosomal RNA", at positions 50 to 154 of the family's 154-position model. The record is from RNAcentral.
GAAAUGCGAUAAGUAGUGUGAAUUGCAGAAUUCAGUGAAUCAUCGAAUCUUUGAACGCACAUUGCGCCCUUUGGUAUUCCAAAGGGCAUGCCUGUUCGAGCGUCAUUUGUACCCUCAAGCUUUGCUUGGUGUUGGGCGUCUUGUCUCUAGCUUUGCUGGAGACUCGCCUUAAAGUAAUUGGCAGCCGGCCUACUGGUUUCGGAGCGCAGCACAAGUCGCACUCUCUAUCAGCAAAGGUCUAGCAUCCAUUGAGCCUUUUUUUCAACUUUUGACCUCGGAUCAGGUAGGGAUACCCGCUGAACUUAAGC